RNAcentral lists this long non-coding RNA (450 nucleotides) under Hordeum vulgare. RNAcentral describes it as "long non-coding RNA (HVUL_LNC015285)". Lineage: Eukaryota; Viridiplantae; Streptophyta; Magnoliopsida; Poales; Poaceae. The record is from RNAcentral.
UGGUAUGACUCCGUCCGUUGAACGAGCAUCUCGUGCCACCUGUUCGGCGUCCACAUCCACUACAAUUUUAUGAUCCCAGUAUCUAUAGCAAAAUCGCUAUUUGCCUCGCUCUAUAGAAGGCCUCCCGUAUGUAAGAUCACCAACCAAGUUCCUUUCUUCUUUUGUUUGUGCCAUCUUUACUAACUUCUACUUCUUGGUUGGCUUGAUGCUUACAGGUCUUGCCUCCGCUGAUACUGGUCAUGGGGACAAGAACUCCGUGGGAAGAGAGCAGAUACCAAUCCUAAACAACCCUUAGAAUGGCCUCAUCCAAACAGAUGAUUGUCAUUGAUAAGACGGGUAGGUGGUAUGUUGAUACUGAGCCGCUUCCCCUCUAGUUGUUAGCUCAUUCUUAACAAAUUCGAUCGGGUCUUCAUAAUCUGGAGUAAAAUGAUUCGAAUCUUUGCAUGCCCA